GAGCCUGGGAGUGUGUGUGUGUGUGUGUGUACACGCUCAUGUGCUCACUUAUGCACCCUCCUA
RNAcentral lists this microRNA precursor (63 nucleotides) under Vicugna pacos (alpaca). Its description in RNAcentral is "miRNA (ENSVPAG00000015535.1)". The record is from RNAcentral. Lineage: Eukaryota; Metazoa; Chordata; Mammalia; Artiodactyla; Camelidae.